RNAcentral lists this ribosomal RNA (487 nucleotides) under Nemertea sp. RCMBAR625. Its description in RNAcentral is "partial 16S ribosomal RNA". It matches the Rfam family "Archaeal large subunit ribosomal RNA", at positions 1939 to 2666 of the family's 2987-position model. Lineage: Eukaryota; Metazoa; Nemertea. The record is from RNAcentral.
AAUAGGUGUUUCCUGCCCAAUGUGUAUAUAAAUGGCCGCGGUAUUUUGACCGUGCAAAGGUAGCAUAAUCAUUUGUCCUUUAAUUGGGGGCUGGAAUGAAGGGAAGUUUGAGGCUUAACCUGUCUCUUUUUUAGGUUAGAAUUUGCUGUUUUUGUGAAGAAGCAAAGGUUUUUAAAAAAGACAAGAAGACCCUUUUAAGCUUUAUUUGUUUGUUUUUUUCUUGUUCUUUUAAGGAUUUUGGUAAAAAAUAAAAGAAUUUGGUUGGGGUGACUGAAGAAGAAAAAAUCUUCUUUAGUUUAUAAAAACUUUAGGUUUAAUCUUGACCCAGGAUUUUCUGGUUGAAAGAAUUAGUUACUAAAGGGAUAACAGCGUAAUCUUUUCAGAGAGUUCUUAUUGAAGAAAAGGAUUGCGACCUCGAUGUUGACUUGCUUUUUCCUUUUAAGGUGCAGAAGCUAAAAGGGUUAGUCUGUUCGACUAUUAAAAUAGU